CCUAUUCGCCCAGGAAACUACAAGCAUGAGCUUGAAACCCAAAGGACUUGGCGGUGCUUUAGACCCACCUAGAGGAGCCUGUCCUAGAANCGAUAACCCCCGUUCAACCUCACCACUUCUGGCUCCUUAUUCCGCCUGUAUACCUCCGUCGUCAGCUUACCCUGUGAAGGAAAAAUAGUAAGCAAAACCGGCACUGCCUAAAACGUCAGGUCGAGGUGCAGCGCACGAAGUGUGCAAGGAGAUGGGCUACAUUUUCUGACUCAGAAAAUUACGAAAGAAUAAUGAAAAAACUUCCAAAGGAGGAUUUAGCAGUAAUCAGGGAAUAGAGCGCCCUGCUG
Molecule: ribosomal RNA, 338 nt
Filed under: Tarletonbeania crenularis
Lineage: Eukaryota; Metazoa; Chordata; Actinopteri; Myctophiformes; Myctophidae
Description: partial 12S ribosomal RNA
Source: RNAcentral